Molecule: non-coding RNA, 74 nt
Organism: Endogone sp. FLAS-F59071
Lineage: Eukaryota; Fungi; Mucoromycota; Endogonomycetes; Endogonales; Endogonaceae
Source: the annotation of a GenBank genome assembly
GCUCGCAUAGCUCAGUUGGUUAGAGCGUGGUGCUAAUAACGCCAAGGUCGCAGGUUCGACCCCUGUUGUGAGCA